This is a non-coding RNA of Cinara cedri, 216 nucleotides long. The record is from the annotation of a GenBank genome assembly. Lineage: Eukaryota; Metazoa; Arthropoda; Insecta; Hemiptera; Aphididae.
UACAAGAACUUUGAUUUUUUAGCUGCCUAAAUAUAAGUUUAAAUGUCAUAAAUGUUACUUACUUACUUAACUACCCUUAUUUCAUCUAUAUUCUUUUAUAUAUAAUUUUUUUUAAAUUUAAUUUCUAAGCAGAGUAAGGGAUCCAUCCAUUAGUUUUACCAUGGAGCAACAUUUUCUACCAGGAAUUUUGGUCUUAUCAAAAAAUAAGAUAUCACA